This is a long non-coding RNA of Neopsephotus bourkii (Bourke's parrot), 559 nucleotides long. RefSeq lists it as uncharacterized. The transcript has 3 exons. Lineage: Eukaryota; Metazoa; Chordata; Aves; Psittaciformes; Psittacidae. The record is from RefSeq and is a predicted model, not a curated record.
GGGCUUGCUCCCAGCAUGGCUCCCAUGGGUUGGGGCUCAGCCUUCCCAGCCCCAUCCCUCUCCUAGGGUGCCCCUUGUCCCACAUGCAGGGCACCGGCCACUGGCCACCCUCUGCCUUACACUGGCUGCCUGCCCUGGGUCGUGGAGCAGUUGCUGGAGGGGAACAGCCUGACAUUCCUGCUGCUGUGUGUGACACUGUCAGACACCUCCAGAGAAGAGGUCCUGGAGGCCCUGGGGCUGGCCGAGCGGGUGAAGGGGGUGGCCAGGAGGAUCUCAGCCACGCUCUGGGACCCUGUGCAAGAGAUCACAGCGCGUCGGAGGCUGAUCCGAGGGCUGCGCCUGGAGCUGCUGGCUGGAGCUGCACUCCCUGAGCAGGAGGUGGCCCUGGCCCAGCUGCGGAAAGCGCUGCGGGAGCUGCGGGUGCUGAAGAACCAAAGGUGGGAGAAGAAGCAGGCAACAGCCGAGAUGCUCAGGACAAGUGAAAUGCAUCAAAUCACUACAAAGAUGAGCACUGGCCAGGACAUUACCCCCUCAUCCAGGGAUAACCCAGGUGCAGGAG